This 252-nucleotide ribosomal RNA is filed under the name Triticum aestivum (bread wheat). RNAcentral describes it as "partial small subunit ribosomal RNA". Lineage: Eukaryota; Viridiplantae; Streptophyta; Magnoliopsida; Poales; Poaceae. The record is from RNAcentral.
AUGAUCAGCAACGUUUACGCCCCCUCUGAUCAUGCAUUGACGGCGGACUUUGUUGAGGAUCUCCGGUCGGUCUCGUUGGGCAUCACCGGCCCCUGGCUGGUGUUUGGGGACUUUAAUCUCAUCUGCUACCCUCACGAGAAGAAUAACAACCGUUUUGAUGCUUCUCGUGCGGCUGUGUUCAACUCCCUCGUUAACUCUCUUGCUCUGCACGAGCUCGCCCUGUCGGGUCGACUUUUCACCUGGACGAGCAAG